Molecule: long non-coding RNA, 409 nt
Organism: Mustela erminea (ermine)
Lineage: Eukaryota; Metazoa; Chordata; Mammalia; Carnivora; Mustelidae
Exons: 3
Source: RefSeq, a predicted model, not a curated record
GAUUACAAUUCAGAAGGCAUUUCAAAAACAUUAGAACAGUCACCCACUGUUACAUCGGUAGAGCUGUUAAAAAGGAAGAAAUAUCUCAAUCUGUGAUUUGAAAAUGGCCUUCAAACCAAAUGUACGAGACAUCCCAAAUUACAGCUUCUACCCGAAGGAAGAGAGAAGACCUAUUGCAGACUCCAUCUGAGCCUUUAAAUUCUUUGCUUUAGCAGGCUCUUAUUCCUAGAGGUGCAAAAAACUAUGAGAGGCAGGAGCAUGAGGAUCUGGGAGAAUUUCUCCAACCAGCUGUUACUCUUCUCUUCCAACGAACGUUUAUCCAAAAGGCAACUGUGAAAAAGAAUAUAAAACGAAGGAAGGAUAUUCUGUUCGCUAAGAUAUUUUUUAAAAUUUAUAAUAAGGAACAAAA